RNAcentral lists this non-coding RNA (22 nucleotides) under Arabidopsis thaliana (thale cress). The record is from RNAcentral. Lineage: Eukaryota; Viridiplantae; Streptophyta; Magnoliopsida; Brassicales; Brassicaceae.
UCAAAUGAGGAAUACUUUGCCA